ACCCGAGUCAUGCCUCUGGGGCUGUUAGGCGUCCCCGCUGCCGCCACUGCCUGUGCUCCAUGGGGAAGAUGCUCGCUUCUGUCUCCCGCGUGCUGUCUGGCGCGUCUCAGAAGCCGACAAGCAGGGUGCUGGUAGCAUCCCGUCAUUUUGCAAAUGAUGUUACAUUUGAAAUUAAGAACUGUGACCUUCGCUGGCUGGAAGAAGGCCCUCCUACCACAACAGUGCUCACCAGGGAGGAUGGGCUCAAAUACUACAGGAUGAUGCAGACCCUGCGCCGGAUGGAGUUAAAAGCAGAUCAGCUGCAUAAACAGAACAUUAUUCGUGGUUUCUGGGACUUUUGUGAUGGUCAGCAAACUUGCUGUUUGGGCCUGGAGGCCGGCAUAAACCCCGCAGACCAUGUCAUCACAGCCUAUCGGGCACACGGCUUUACCUUCACCCGGGGCCUUUCCGUCCCAGAAAUUCUCGCAGAGCUGACAGGACCAAAAGGAGGUUGCGCUAAAGGGAAAGGAGGAUCGAUGCUCAUGGUCGCUAAGAACUUCUAUGGGGACAAUGGCGUCGUAGGAGCGCAGGGGCCCCUGGGCGCUGGGACGGCUCUGACCUCUAAGUAUAAUGGAAAAGAUGAGGUCUGCCUGGCCUUCUAUAGCGAUGGCGCUGCUAAUCAGGGCCAGAUAUUAGAAUCUUACAACGUGGCAGCUUUCUGGAAAUUACCUUGUAUUUUCAUCUGUAAGAAUAACCGCUAUGGAAUGGGAACGUCUGUUGAGAGAGCAGCAGCCAGCACUGAUUACUAGGAGAGAGGCGAUUUCGUCCCUAUGCUGACAGUGGAUGCAAUGGUAUCCUGUGCGUCCGAGAGGCGACAAGGUUUGCCACUGCCUGUUGUAGAUCUGGGAAGGGGGCCAUCCUGAAGGGGCUGCAGACUUAGCAUUACUACAGACACUGCGUGAGUGAUCCUGGAGUCAGUUACCACACAUGAGAAGACAUUCAGGAAGUAAGAAGUAAGAGUGACUGUAUUAUGCUUCUCAAGGACAGGAUGGUGAACAGCAAUCUUGCCAGUGUAGAAGAAUUAAAGGAAAUUGAUGUGAAGGUGAGGAGGGAAAGUGAGGAUGCUGCCCAGUUUGCCACGGCCUAUCCAGAGUCGCCUUUGGAGGAGCUGGGCUACCACAUCUACUCCAGCGACCCACCUUUCUAAGUUCGUGGUGCCAAUCAGUGGAUCAAGUUUAAGUCAGUCAGUUAAGGGGAGAAGGUGAGUUUAUACCUUCAGGGGCUACUAGACAAUGUUCAGUGUUCUCAACUUGGUUAAGGAGGAAGAAAACCCAGUCCAUGAAAUUCUUGUGAA
RNA transcript from Cebus imitator (Panamanian white-faced capuchin), 1333 nucleotides. It is a transcript of the gene named pyruvate dehydrogenase E1 component subunit alpha, somatic form, mitochondrial-like, with no coding region annotated. The record is from RefSeq and is a predicted model, not a curated record. The transcript has a single exon. Lineage: Eukaryota; Metazoa; Chordata; Mammalia; Primates; Cebidae.